Long non-coding RNA from Physeter macrocephalus (sperm whale), 1833 nucleotides. RefSeq lists it as uncharacterized. The transcript has 9 exons. The record is from RefSeq and is a predicted model, not a curated record. NCBI's taxonomy places the organism in Eukaryota, Metazoa, Chordata, Mammalia, Artiodactyla, Physeteridae.
AGCGCUCCAGUCACCUGGCGGCCGCCGGACCUCAGGCCCAGAGAGCCCAGCACCAGGUUCAGUUGCCAAGGGACACCUCCAAAGAGGACUGCAGAGCCACAGCUGGUCCGUGCGCGCCCCAGACUGCGCUCCUUCGCUCCUUGAGAAGUAACGGAGAGAGAGAGAGAGACUAAGAGAAAAAAAGAGAGGAAGAGAGAGAGACAGAGAGACAGGAAGAAGAGGGAAUCAUCUCAUCUUUACUAUCCUGGCCAGCAAACAAGUCUGUUCUUCGGGCUCUAGGGAGACAGUAUUUCUAGCUUCCAAGGAUUUUUGCCAAGAGAACAAUCUUGAAAAGUUGCGGCAAGCGGGAGCUACUCUUCGUACUACUCUUCGCGGGCUUUUCAUUGCGGUGGCUUCUCUUGUUGCGGACCACAGGCUGUAGGGAAAACUUCAAAAUCAGUCCGGCAGUGCUCCCAAAACUGCAAGAUCUCUCACCUUUUGGAGAGCUGAGACUGCAAGAUAAACCAGCUGAAUUCCAAUGAAUGGCAUACGGCUCUGAGAAGAGAUGAAUCUACAGAACGAUUUCAUUUCUGACAGAACAUUAGAGGAAGGUAUUGCUGUCAUCAAAGCAGCAUUUUUACUGCAUCCAUUGGAUGAAUGAAGAGAACUUCAAAGGCCUGCAGGAGAGACAAGAUAAAAGGAUCUUGGGGAGCAGAGAGCAUCCAUUGACCUACACUUCAAUGUCAAGUGAGAAACAAACUCUAUUUUGAGAAUGGUUCCUGCUCUUCUCUGAGAAUGGAAUGAAGGUUCAGUUCCAUUUGGACAACACAUACUAAGAAAAACUCUAUUGGGGAUUUUGUCAGUGAGAAAUGAAGAGGUAAACUGGAGCAAGCUCAAAUUACCAGAAAUUGAGUUUAUUUGAAAAUAGCAGAGGAACUGCAAUUCAGGAAACGUGCGCUGCAGCAACUUACAGAAUUUAAAUCUCAACAACCAGAUCAACUGGAAUCUAAGGGAUGAUGACGGUGACCUUUUCUGACCCUCAUGACUUCAAUCAACUAAAGCUUGAACUCUGUCAUCCAAGCCCCUUCAUGAAUAUGCAUGUACCAAUAGCUUAAACUUCCCCAGUUUCGCUGUUCAGAGAGAGACUUCUUUGGGAAAAAUCCCUGGUAUUCUCCUUACUUGCAGCAAGUAGUAAGUCCUUCUCCAGCAAUCUGGCUUGGUUGUGUCCUUUGGCGACACCACCAAUAGGCUAACCCAGUUUCCAGGUAACAUUUCUACAUGAUUGAGCCUAAUUUAUACUUAUUCAUAUUUUUCUAUAUACACAGCAUUUAUUAUAUAUACAUAGUAAAAUGUGAUACAUUGUAUAAGAGAAAAGGUUGGAGUAACAAGGAUUCCUAAGCUCGUUUGGGGAGAGAGUGAAGAAAACUUAGGAAUCAUCUGAGCUGGACUUUAAAGCUUUUUAAAGAAGGACCAUGUCUGUUCUCCACUCUCUAUGCAUAGGAAUUAUUCUGGUAUGGCAGAAGGAUGUGGAAGUGGAAAAAAGAAAUUGUUUGGAGUAGAAAUAAUAGAUAGACAUCCUUAAAGGAGGAGGAAGGACAGAUUAACAUUUACUUUUUUUGAGGCCCUAAAAUGUGCUAAAAAUGCUCUAUGAGUAGGAUUGAAGAUAAAUUCAAGGAAUGGUGGUUAGUUGGUAAGUAUGUCCACAGCUGGCAGCUUCACAGUUUUCAGUUACAUUCAAAAAGAGGUCAUUUACUUGGAAAGAACCAGGUAGCUGGCAACAUAAUUGGGCUACAGCUGAAGCCCUUAAACCUGUAAACUGCAAUUUGUAUGAAAUAAAUUCCCUUUGUUAUUUAA